ACACUUUCCUCAACAUGGGAGACGCCAUCGACCAGCUGACGUAUGAGAGAGACCUGAACCGCUACUACUGCGAGCAGUUCAAGGCUUUCAUUGAGGCAGCAGCUGCAGCCGCCGCAGAGCCAGCCCCAGCUGCCGCACCGGCACCAGACCAGGCCCCACCUCCACCACAGGAUCAGGAGGUGGUACCUCAGGAGGAGGAGGAGCCCCAGGAGGUCCACGAGAUGGACACCCCUGCCACCAACACCCGCUCCAAGAGGAAGAGGG
This 264-nucleotide long non-coding RNA is filed under the name Brachypodium distachyon (stiff brome). Its description in RNAcentral is "long non-coding RNA (BDIS_LNC002130)". Lineage: Eukaryota; Viridiplantae; Streptophyta; Magnoliopsida; Poales; Poaceae. The record is from RNAcentral.